Cottoperca gobio is the source of this 595-nucleotide long non-coding RNA. RefSeq lists it as uncharacterized. Lineage: Eukaryota; Metazoa; Chordata; Actinopteri; Perciformes; Bovichtidae. The record is from RefSeq and is a predicted model, not a curated record. The transcript has 3 exons.
CACACCGUGGUGAGGUCACAUGCAGAGGUCCACUUCUACUAAAUGUUAUUUUGACUUGCUUCUGAUUCACUUCACAUUCGCUUUAAAAAGCACUUUGAGUCAUGAGAGUGCAGAAGUAAGCAGAGGAAGUGUCUGCCAAGUGAGGAGUAUGAUGUACCAGAGCGAGACGUUCCAAGGACAAGAAGUACGAUGAACACGGGAACAAUCCUCCAGUCUAGCCAAGAAAUGAGAAAUAUCCUGAGAACCACAGACUGUAAGCCAUCUGGUAUUUCCUGGCAAGUUGACCCACUUAAAACUGGAGAGCUCUCUGGUCUGGAUGGAAUGAAUAUUUGUGGGUACAGAUAAGAUGAAUUGCAGGAAACUGCACAAGGAAUGUAGACUGCACAUUCGCCACUGGGUGGUUCAACAAAGAGGCCAUCUUUGCAUGUGUUAAAGGGAAUAUCCACAUUCUGGUCGGUGUUUACAUUCCACUGCCGGCCAACGUGCAGGAUGCGCAGCACGUGCUCGCCGAUCAGAUCCUGAAUGUGGAGCGGACAUACCCGGACUCCUUAGUUAUUGUCCUCGGGGACUUUAACAAAGGAAAACUCAACCACAA